GACCCAAUGGUGAAAUGUAUCACAUCCGCUGUGAAUAGGUGAGUUGCUCAUGUGUAAUUCUGGCGGAAGUCACCCGUUCGAUUCGGGUUUGGGUCG
Non-coding RNA from Mycena crocata, 96 nucleotides. NCBI's taxonomy places the organism in Eukaryota, Fungi, Basidiomycota, Agaricomycetes, Agaricales, Mycenaceae. The record is from the annotation of a GenBank genome assembly.